AUGUAAAUUCCUACAACAUAGCGUUAAUGCACCGGAUCCCAUUAGAACUCCGUAGUUAAGCACGCUUGGCAUAGAGUAGUACUGGGAUCAGUGACUUCCCAGGAAGUCCUAGUAUUUUACAUG
Molecule: non-coding RNA, 123 nt
Organism: Picea glauca (white spruce)
Lineage: Eukaryota; Viridiplantae; Streptophyta; Pinopsida; Pinales; Pinaceae
Source: Rfam